GAUCCUGGCUCAGGACGAACGCUGGCGGCGCGCCUAACACAUGCAAGUCGAACGGAGCUGAGAGGAGCUUGCUUUUCUUAGCUUAGUGGCGAACGGGUGAGUAACGCGUGAGUAACCUGCCCUGGAGUGGGGGACAACAGUUGGAAACGACUGCUAAUACCGCAUAAGCCCACGGCCCGGCAUCGGGCUGAGGGAAAAGGAUUUAUUCGCUUCAGGAUGGACUCGCGUCCAAUUAGCUAGUUGGUG
RNAcentral lists this ribosomal RNA (246 nucleotides) under uncultured bacterium. RNAcentral describes it as "partial 16S ribosomal RNA". It matches the Rfam family "Bacterial small subunit ribosomal RNA", at positions 15 to 254 of the family's 1533-position model. The record is from RNAcentral.